AUAGCUUUCCGAUGGAUUCUAAAAGUUCUUUUCUAGAGAAGCUCCAAAAUAGCUUCUCCCAAAAGGCUCUUUUACCUUCUUGACAAAACUAAAAAUAGCUUUUCAAAAAUUUUACUAAAUAUUUCUAUUUUAUUUAAAAGUACUUUUGGAGAUUCAAAAAGUAUGUUUUAGCCCUCCAAAAGCUUUUCCAAAACGGACCUCAUUCAUCUUAUUUUGUUAUGGGCCGAGAUAGGUCUCGGGCUGAAGGCCCAGGAUGUCGUAGCGAACUUUCUUAUUAGGCUAGCGAAAUUAUACAGCAUCGCCGUUUAUUGUCACCAAUCCAGAAGGAUAUACUUAUCCGGGAUAGUCUAAAGAACCAAACUCAGGAACGGCAAAACCUCUCUUCGACCGCCCUCUCUCUCGCCCUCCCAAAUCCGAACCAAUCGCUGGCGGACAAAGCAGGAGGCAAGGAGGGUAAAUGUUUCCUUUCCGGCGAAAUCCAUCCCAACCUUCGAAAAACAGGGAGGAGCCAUGGCUGGCCGCCAGCCUGAGGCCGGAGAACUUCCUUCCAGGGCUCGUAAUCGGGUUUCUUCUGGGCCUGUUUAUCGAUCUCACUGCUUCCAAUAGAAGCAGCUCCAAGGGGAAAUCCUCCUUUCCGUCGGGCAAGCACCAGUCGGUCGUUUCCUGCGGCAACGGUGAAGAACUCAAGAUGGUUCUAAUUGUUCGACAAGAUUUGAGGAUGGGAGCUGGAAAAAUUGCUUCUCAAUGUGCUCAUGCAGCCACUGGCAUGUAUGCAGAGAUGUCGCAAAGGCCCUCUAAUCUCUCUUCUUUCAGCCACCGAUCUCUUUUGAGGCAAUGGGAGCAAUGUGGCCAGCCUAAAAUAGUUUUGUCGUGCAAAAAUCAACAAGAAAUGAAUAAGAUGAAGGAAACAGCAGAUCGGUGUGGCCUUCCAACUUUUGUUGUUUCUGAUGCAGGGCGCACACAGAAUAUUCUAAUUCUGUCAUGAAACCCUUGAAGUUCUGAUGGUUCAAGCUGGGUCGAGGACAGUUCUUGCCAUUGGGCCAGGGAGGAAAGCAGAUAUUGAUUCGGUUACCGGAAAACUGCGGCUACUUUAAAAUGGGCAGCCACAAGGAUUUUCCAGUACAGGAAUGAGGAAGGCUCCUCUAUCUUGGUGUUUUUCCUAAGGGAUUCUUCCGAGGUGCCACGAGUGCAAGCAAAAGCCAUGAUUGUUCAGGGAUUUAGUGAAGUCUUAACUAAAGUACGACGACGGUCCUCUGCAUGGCCUCCUCUUCCCUAUCUUCUGUUGAAACAGCAGCUCUUGACCCGGGAAAGCCAAUCAAGCAAUGUUCAUAUCCAACUGCUAACUUCUGCAGGGUAUUGGACUUCCAUUUGAUUUCUAUUGGGGUAUUAUUGCAAAAGCUCCAAUGUGGUUUGAGUUCUGUGUAAUUUUCAUGUGUUUGUUGAACAACUCUUAACCUUUGAACGCACAUAUUUAUCCAAAAACGGCUCCUUGUAUGUUUUAGUUUGUACCUUUUCCUUUUUAAUCUAAUCAUAUUUCCUUGAAGUGUUA
Molecule: RNA transcript, 1549 nt
Organism: Phoenix dactylifera (date palm)
Lineage: Eukaryota; Viridiplantae; Streptophyta; Magnoliopsida; Arecales; Arecaceae
Gene name: Peptidyl-tRNA hydrolase II (PTH2) family protein
Source: RefSeq, a predicted model, not a curated record